Molecule: ribosomal RNA, 613 nt
Filed under: Cystofilobasidium macerans
Lineage: Eukaryota; Fungi; Basidiomycota; Tremellomycetes; Cystofilobasidiales; Cystofilobasidiaceae
Description: eukaryotic LSU rRNA
Rfam family: Eukaryotic large subunit ribosomal RNA
Source: RNAcentral
CAUAACGGGGAUUUCCCUAGUACGGCGAGUGAAGCGGGAAGAGCUCAAAUUUAAAAUCUGGCAGGCUACGCUUGUCCGAAUUGUAAUCUCGAGAAGUGUUUUCCGCGUUGGCCUGUGUACAAGUCCCUUGGAACAGGGCGUCAUAGAGGGUGAGAAUCCCGUCCUUGACACAGACACCCAAUGCUUUGUGAUACACUCUCAAUGAGUCGAGUUGUUUGGGAAUGCAGCUCAAAAUGGGUGGUAAAUUCCAUCUAAAGCUAAAUACUGGCGAGAGACCGAUAGCGAACAAGUACCGUGAGGGAAAGAUGAAAAGCACUUUGGAAAGAGAGUCAAACAGUACGUGAAAUUGUUGAAAGGGAAACGAUUGAAGUCAGUCGUGCCUGCCUAGUCUCAGCCUUUUGGUGUACUACUAGGUCGGCAGGUCAGCAUCAGUUUGGGAGGAUUAACAAGGGAGUUAGGAAUGUGGCAACCUCGGUUGUGUUAUAGCCUAGCUUCGCAUUGAUCUUGCUGGACUGAGGAACGCAGUGCGCCCGCAAGGGUUGGUCUUCGGACACAUUCGCACUUAGGAUGCUGGCAUAAUGGCUUUAAACGACCCGUCUUGAAACACGGACCA